Molecule: long non-coding RNA, 522 nt
Filed under: Fukomys damarensis (Damara mole-rat)
Lineage: Eukaryota; Metazoa; Chordata; Mammalia; Rodentia; Bathyergidae
Description: lncRNA (ENSFDAG00000029509.1)
Source: RNAcentral
GUGGGAGAGCCGGCAGCUGCUUCAGGGCAGCGGAGGUUCCUUUGGAGUCUUGGUUCACGCACUUGCACAUGAUCGUGACCUUGACUCCCAGCAGAGCUCCUGCAAAACAGUCCUUGCCCACCACCCUGACAGGAAACCUGGGCAAGACUCCAAGUCAUAUUUAACACAUUUAUGAGAAACCGACACGUGGCUAUUUCUAGCGUCGGGGUUUGUCUGCCAAGGGCAGACUGGGUAAACAGAAUGGCAUCGUACAAGUGGAGAGCCACCUGCUCCUCACAAAGGCAGCAAUUCAGCUCCGUCAGGAUCUCAUGCCGACCUGUGGGUGGGGCGUGCUCGACCGCGUUCCACGGUGGGGAAACUGAGGCUUGGAGACAGAGGGAGGUUCACAGAGGGGUCCCCAGCUCAUGGCCUCGCACGGAUGGAGUCACCUCUCCAGGGAAGAGCCUGCACCCACCACGUUCUCAUUGCUGGGAGGACAGAGUGAACCAGCCUAGGGGCCGUGUCAGAUCAGCGGCUCCGUGA